This 76-nucleotide transfer RNA is filed under the name Pseudoalteromonas citrea. RNAcentral describes it as "tRNA-Lys". It matches the Rfam family "tRNA". Rfam says of the family: Transfer RNA (tRNA) molecules are approximately 80 nucleotides in length. The record is from RNAcentral. Lineage: Bacteria; Pseudomonadati; Pseudomonadota; Gammaproteobacteria; Alteromonadales; Pseudoalteromonadaceae.
GGGUCAUUAGAUCAGUUGUUAGAGAAUUGGACUCUUAAUCCAAUGGUAGAGGGAUAAAGUCCAUAAUGACCUACCA